GAGAAGUACCAGAGUAAUGCGUUUUCUCAGCACAGGUUUAAAAAUAAAAUAUAAAUUAAAAUGGGAGUAUUGAUGAUAUGCUAUGCUUUUAGUUGUAGGAACUGACUACAAGAUAUUCCCCACAGAUAUUCUGAGACACAACACUGGAACAGUCAGCA
Thalassophryne amazonica is the source of this 158-nucleotide long non-coding RNA. RefSeq lists it as uncharacterized. The record is from RefSeq and is a predicted model, not a curated record. Lineage: Eukaryota; Metazoa; Chordata; Actinopteri; Batrachoidiformes; Batrachoididae. The transcript has 3 exons.